CCUACGGGUGGCAGCAGUGGGGAAUAUUGGACAAUGGGGGAAACCCUGAUCCAGCGACGCCGCGUGAGUGAAGAAGGAUUUCGGUACGUAAAGCUCUAUCAGCAGGAAAGAAAAUGACGGUACCUGACUAAGAAGCCACGGAUAACUACGUGCCAGCCGCCGGGGUAAUACGUAGGGGGCAAGCGUUAUCCGGAUUUACUGGGUGUAAAGGGAGCGUAGAGGGGAGCGCAAGUCUGGAGUGAAAUGCCGGGGCCCAACCCCGGAACUGUACUGGAAACUGUGAAGCUGGAGUGCAGGAGAGGGAAGCGGAAUUCGGGGUGUAGCGGUGAAAUGCGUAGAUAUCAGGAGGAACAGCGGCGGCGAAGGCGGCUUAAUGGACUGUAACUGACGUUGAGGCUCGAAGGCGUGGGGAGCAAACAGGAUUAGAUACUAGUAGUC
RNAcentral lists this ribosomal RNA (438 nucleotides) under uncultured bacterium. RNAcentral's name for it is "partial 16S ribosomal RNA". It matches the Rfam family "Bacterial small subunit ribosomal RNA", at positions 338 to 795 of the family's 1533-position model. The record is from RNAcentral.